Molecule: long non-coding RNA, 1318 nt
Organism: Triplophysa rosa
Lineage: Eukaryota; Metazoa; Chordata; Actinopteri; Cypriniformes; Nemacheilidae
Exons: 3
Source: RefSeq, a predicted model, not a curated record
GGUAGAAUGAAUUUGAACACACCUACAAUAUUUUGUUUUCGUUACAACGAAAGUGGGCGUGGUUUCCGGACAGACAUUGAAACUCGUUUAAAUGUUUCUUAAAUAGCAUCAAAUACACGGGAAAGGCCGUCGAGGACAUGCGUCGAUAGAUAGUGAUACAAACAUUAAACGAUCUACGUGUUUAACCAGAAAUCCGUGGAAAAUCAUAUUCGUCGAAUCUGCCGCCGUUCGACAUCUGCUGUGAAAUCGGGUGUUUAUGAAACUCGUCUGCGAAUUGAAGUAAAACGACCUGUCUGAGUGUAUGUCCCCAUAUGCUGUGCCCUGUACGUAAAGCAGCUAUGGCUAUAUGGUUAAAACGGUGAAUGAGGCGAAUGCUUUAGCUGGUGUAACCGGUCCCACUUGCACCGCUCUGCGCGGGCCUCAAACCGGCGACGGUCCGGAUGGGAGACGGGCGCUCUAACGAGGAGGCUAAAGACCGCAGUCUCUAGCGUCUGUCGCUAGAGCGUCUCUGUUGGUCGGGGAGUGAGGUUUACACACUGCACAGCUCUUCACUAGCUGGCCUCCGUUACACUGGGUCCUGAUGAAAUGUAACCAUGGCGAGGACAUAUGUUUGUUAUUUGUAAUGGUUUGUUUGAUAACUUACCUUAUGUUUAUAACAGCUCUAAAUUUCUUACAAUCUUUGCAAUUAUACAAAUUAUUUUUUAUAAAAUUAGAUUGUUCACCUGUUCAGUUACCAACUUUCUUCAAAAUAUCUUUUGUGUUCUGCAGAAGAAAGAAAGUCACUCAAGUUUAAAAUGACAAGAGGAUGAGUAAAUAAAUAAUGACAUAAUUUUAGUUUUUGGGUUAACUUAACGAUCACGUUAAAGUAUUAGUUUCUUUGUAUUAGUUUCAAAGUAUUAGAAAUCAUUGUAUCUGAAAUUUAAGCCACUGCAUUCAUUGUGUCUGUGACAUCUGUCAUUGGACGUAUGGGAAUACUUUGACUUCAGUAAUCUCACUGGUGCUCUUCAGGCUAUGAGAAAUAUUGCUGGUGCGGGAUUUAUUUUAUGGUUAUGGCAUAUUUACAAUUCAAUGUUUUAUUUAAGGUACUUUAAAAUAGCAUGUAAUAUAGUAAUAUAUAAUUUUAAAUUUAAAUGACCAUGAAACUUGCAUUCACACAUUUGACUAAAGACUAUAUAGCCAUUAAGUGAAAAACUAUAAUAGUGUACUAUAUGAGAUCAAAAGCUCUAAAUGUACUGUGCAGUACCUUACUUUUCAUGAUUGUUAAGGUUUCCAACACAAAUAAAAUAUUCUUUCUGCAAAUAUUCUUUCUGUUUUGCUU